RNAcentral lists this ribosomal RNA (433 nucleotides) under uncultured bacterium. RNAcentral's name for it is "partial 16S ribosomal RNA". It matches the Rfam family "Bacterial small subunit ribosomal RNA", at positions 29 to 507 of the family's 1533-position model. The record is from RNAcentral.
AACGAACGCUGGCGGCAGGCCUAACACAUGCAAGUCGAGCGAGGACUUCGGUUCUAGCGGCGGACGGGUGAGUAACGCGUGGGAAUGUGCCCUUCUCUACGGAAUAGCCCUGGGAAACUGGGAGUAAUACCGUAUACGCCCUAUUGGGGAAAGAUUUAUCGGAGAAGGAUCAGCCCACGUUGGAUUAGGUAGUUGGUGGGGUAAUGGCCUACCAAGCCGACGAUCCAUAGCUGGUUUGAUAGGAUGAUCAGCCACACUGGGACUGAGACACGGCCCAGACUCCUACGGGAGGCAGCAGUGGGGAAUCUUAGACAAUGGGGGCAAACCUGAUCUAGCCAUGCCGCGUGAGUGAUGAAGGCCUUAGGGUUGUAAAGCUCUUUCAGCUGGGAAGAUAAUGACGGUACCAGCAGAAGAAGCCCCGGCUAACUCCGUG